UACAGAGGGGGCAAGCGUUGUUCGGAAUUACUGGACGUAAAGGGCGCGUAGGCGGCCUGCUAAGUCGAACGUGAAAUCCCUGGGCUCAACCCAGGAACUGCGUCCGAUACUGGUUGGCUUGAAUCCGGGAGAGGGAUGUGGAGUUCCAGGUGUAGCGGUGAAAUGCGUAGAUAUCUGGAGGAACACCGGUGGCGAAGGCGACAUCCUGGACCGGUAUUGACGCUGAGGCGCGAAAGCCAGGGGAGCAAACGGG
RNAcentral lists this ribosomal RNA (253 nucleotides) under uncultured bacterium. RNAcentral describes it as "partial 16S ribosomal RNA". It matches the Rfam family "Bacterial small subunit ribosomal RNA", at positions 524 to 776 of the family's 1533-position model. The record is from RNAcentral.